RNAcentral lists this ribosomal RNA (460 nucleotides) under uncultured bacterium. RNAcentral's name for it is "partial 16S ribosomal RNA". It matches the Rfam family "Bacterial small subunit ribosomal RNA", at positions 338 to 795 of the family's 1533-position model. The record is from RNAcentral.
CCUACGGGUGGCAGCAGUGAGGAAUAUUGGUCAAUGGACGCAAGUCUGAACCAGCCAAGUCGCGUGAAGGAUGACGGCCCUAUGAGUUGUAAACUUCUUUUAUAUGGGAGUAAAACAGGAUAUGCAUACCCUCUUGUAUGUACCAUAUGAAUAAGGAUCGGCUAACUCCGUGCCAGCAGCCGCGGUAAUACGGAGGAUCCGAGUGUUAUCCGGAUUUAUUGGGUUUAAAGGGAGCGUAGGUGGAUGGUUAAGUCAGGUGUGAAAGUCUGCGGCUCAACCGUAAAAUUGCAGUUGAAACUGGCAGGCUAGAGUAUAGUAGAGGUGGGCGGAAUUUGUGGUGUAGCGGUGAAAUGCUUAGAGAUCAUGAAGAACUCCGAUUGCGAAGGCAGCUUACUGGACUGCAACUGACACUGAGGCUCGAAAGCGUGGGGAGCAAACAGGAUUAGAUACCCUUGUAGUC